This 663-nucleotide ribosomal RNA is filed under the name uncultured bacterium. RNAcentral describes it as "bacterial SSU rRNA". It matches the Rfam family "Bacterial small subunit ribosomal RNA", at positions 293 to 980 of the family's 1533-position model. The record is from RNAcentral.
UGAGAAAGUACGCCAAUGGAACUGAACCGGUCCAGAUUCUCUUACGGAGGCAGCAGUGGGAUCUUGCACAAUUGGCGCAAGCUGAUGCAGGCACGCCGCGUGGGGGAUGACGCUCGGUCGUAAACUCUUCGUCAGGAAGAAGCCUUUUGGGUGACGGUACCUGAGAAGAAGCACCGGCUAACUACGUGCCAGCAGCGCGGUAAUACGUAGGGUGCGAGGCGUUGUCAGGAAUUAUUGGGCGUAAAGAGCUUGUAGGCGGUUUGUCGCGUCUGCGGUGAAAACCCGGGGCUUAACGUUGGGCGUGCCGUGGGUACGGGCAGGCUAGAGUGUGGUAGGGGAGACUGGAAUUCCUGGUGUAGCGGUGAAAUGCGCAGAUAUCAGGAGGAACACCGAUGGCGAAGGCAGGUCUCUGGGCCAUAACUGACGCUGAGAAGCGAAAGCAUGGGGAGCGAACAGGAUUAGAUACCCUGGUAGUCCAUGCCGUAAACGUUGGGCGCUAGGUGUGGGGCUCAUUCCACGAGUUCUGUGCCGCAGCUAACGCAUUAAGCGCCCCGCCUGGGGAGUACGGCCGCAAGGCUAAAACUCAAAGGAAUUGACGGGGGCCCGCACAAGCGGCGGAGCAUGCGGAUUAAUUCGAUGCAACGCGAAGAACCUUACCAAGGC